GAAGGUCCCAAGCGUUGUUCGGAAUCACUGGGCGUAAAGGGAGCGUAGGCGGCGUGGUAAGUCAGAUGUGAAAUCCCGGGGCUCAACCCCGGAACUGCAUCCGAUACUGCCAUGCUUGAGGGUUGGAGAGGUAGCUGGAAUUCUCGAUGUAGCAGUGAAAUGCGUGGAUAUCGAGAGGAACACUCGUGGCGAAGGCGAGCUACUGGACAACAUCUGACGCUGAGGCUCGAAGGCUAGGGGAGCAAAAGGGAUUAGAUACCCCUGUAGUCCUAGCAGUAAACGGUGCACGCUUGGUGUGAGGGGAUUCGACCCCCCUUGUGCCGGAGCUAACGCGUUAACGUGCCGCCUGGGAAGUACGGUCGCGAGACUA
This 370-nucleotide ribosomal RNA is filed under the name uncultured bacterium. RNAcentral describes it as "bacterial SSU rRNA". It matches the Rfam family "Bacterial small subunit ribosomal RNA", at positions 527 to 896 of the family's 1533-position model. The record is from RNAcentral.